This 429-nucleotide ribosomal RNA is filed under the name Bacillota bacterium. Its description in RNAcentral is "Firmicutes bacterium partial 16S ribosomal RNA". It matches the Rfam family "Bacterial small subunit ribosomal RNA", at positions 355 to 776 of the family's 1533-position model. The record is from RNAcentral. Lineage: Bacteria; Bacillati; Bacillota.
UAGGGAAUCUUCGGCAAUGGACGGAAGUCUGACCGAGCAACUCCGCGUGAGUGAAGAAGGUUUUCGGAUCGUAAAGCUCUUUUGUUAGAGAAGAACGUUGGUAGGAGUGGAAAAUCUACCAAGUGACGGUAACUAACCAGAAAGGGACGGCUAACUACGUGCCAGCAGCCGCGGUAAUACGUAGGUCCCGAGCGUUGUCCGGAUUUAUUGGGCGUAAAGCGAGCGCAGGCGGUUCUUUAAGUCUGAAGUUAAAGGCAGUGGCUUAACCAUUGUACGCUUUGGAAACUGGAGGACUUGAGUGCAGAAGGGGAGAGUGGAAUUCCAUGUGUAGCGGUGAAAUGCGUAGAUAUAUGGAGGAACACCGGUGGCGAAAGCGGCUCUCUGGUCUGUAACUGACGCUGAGGCUCGAAAGCGUGGGGAGCAAACAGG